RNAcentral lists this ribosomal RNA (305 nucleotides) under uncultured bacterium. RNAcentral's name for it is "bacterial SSU rRNA". It matches the Rfam family "Bacterial small subunit ribosomal RNA", at positions 333 to 655 of the family's 1533-position model. The record is from RNAcentral.
UGCGUCCUACGGGACGCAGCAGUGGGGGAUAUUGCACAAUGGGGGAAACCCUGAUGCAGCGACGCCGCGUGAGUGAAGAAGUAUUUCGGUAUGUAAAGCUCUAUCAGCAGGGACGAAAAUGACGGUACCUGAGUAAGAAGCCCCGGCUAACUACGUGCCAGCAGCCGCGGUAAUACGUAGGGGGCAAGCGUUAUCCGGAUUUACUGGUUGUAAAGGGAGCGUAGACGGCAGUGCAAGUCUGAAGUGAAAGCCCCGGGCUUAACCCGGGAAUUGCUUUGGAAACUGUACGGCUGGAGUGCUGGAGG